CCCUUAGAUGUUCUGGGCUGCACGCGCGCUACACUGAUGCGCUCAACGAGUUUUAACCUUGCCUGGAAAGGUUGGGUAAUCUUUUUAAAACGCAUCGUGAUGGGGAUAGAUUAUUGCAAUUAUUAAUCUUCAACGAGGAAUUCCUAGUAAGCGCGAGUCAUCAGCUCGUGCUGAUUACGUCCCUGCCCUUUGUACACACCGCCCGUCGCUCCUGCCGAUUGAGUGAUCCGGUGAAUAAUUCGGACUGCGGCAUUGACCGGUUCCCGAUCGUUGCUGCGGAAAGUUUAGUGAACCUUAUCACUUAGAGGAAGGAGAAGUCGUAACA
This 325-nucleotide ribosomal RNA is filed under the name uncultured eukaryote. RNAcentral describes it as "partial 18S ribosomal RNA". It matches the Rfam family "Eukaryotic small subunit ribosomal RNA", at positions 1470 to 1796 of the family's 1831-position model. The record is from RNAcentral.